UAGUCAUACGCUUGUCUCAAAGAUUAAGCCAUGCAUGUCUAAGUAUAAGCAUUAUACAGUGAAACUGCGAAUGGCUCAUUAUAUCAGUUAUAGUUUAUUUGAUAGUCCCUACUACUUGGAUAACCGUAGUAAUUCUAGAGCUAAUACAUGCAUAAAAUCCCGACUCACGAAGGGAUGUAUUUAUUAGAUACAACCAGCCCCGUAAGGGUCUUUGGUGAAUCAUAAUAACUGAGCGAACCGAUGCGCAAGCAACGGUGGUUCAUUCAAGUUUCUGCC
Molecule: ribosomal RNA, 276 nt
Filed under: uncultured eukaryote
Lineage: Eukaryota
Description: partial 18S ribosomal RNA
Rfam family: Eukaryotic small subunit ribosomal RNA
Source: RNAcentral